Molecule: ribosomal RNA, 294 nt
Filed under: uncultured Gammaproteobacteria bacterium
Lineage: Bacteria; Pseudomonadati; Pseudomonadota; Gammaproteobacteria
Description: partial 16S ribosomal RNA
Rfam family: Bacterial small subunit ribosomal RNA
Source: RNAcentral
AACUCGAGCUAAUACCGCAUAAGCCCUACGGGGGAAAGCGGGGGACCUUCGGGCCUCGUGCUAUUAGAUGAGCCUGCGUUGGAUUAGCUAGUUGGUGGGGUAAAGGCCUACCAAGGCGACGAUCCAUAGAUGGUCUGAGAGGAUGAUCAGCCACACCGGGACUGAGACACGGCCCGGACUCCUACGGGAGGCAGCAGUGGGGAAUAUUGCGCAAUGGGCGAAAGCCUGACGCAGCCAUGCCGCGUGUGUGAAGAAGGCCUUCGGGUUGUAAAGCACUUUCAAUUGGGAGGAAAG